Molecule: ribosomal RNA, 1470 nt
Filed under: metagenome
Description: bacterial SSU rRNA
Rfam family: Bacterial small subunit ribosomal RNA
Source: RNAcentral
AGAGUUUGAUCAUGGCUCAGGACGAACGCUGGCGGCACGCUUAACACAUGCAAGUCGAACGAGAGAAGAGGAGCUUGCUCUUCUGAUCUAGUGGCGGACGGGUGAGUAACACGUGAGCAAUCUGCCUUUCAGAGGGGGAUACCGAUUGGAAACGAUCGUUAAUACCGCAUAACAUAAUUGAACCGCAUGAUUUGAUUAUCAAAGAUUUAUCGCUGAAAGAUGAGCUCGCGUCUGAUUAGCUAGUUGGUAAGGUAACGGCUUACCAAGGCGACGAUCAGUAGCCGGACUGAGAGGUUGAUCGGCCACAUUGGGACUGAGACACGGCCCAGACUCCUACGGGAGGCAGCAGUGGGGAAUAUUGCACAAUGGAGGAAACUCUGAUGCAGCGAUGCCGCGUGAGGGAAGAAGGUUUUAGGAUUGUAAACCUCUGUCUUCAGGGACGAAAAAAGACGGUACCUGAGGAGGAAGCUCCGGCUAACUACGUGCCAGCAGCCGCGGUAAUACGUAGGGAGCGAGCGUUGUCCGGAAUUACUGGGUGUAAAGGGAGCGUAGGCGGGAUCGCAAGUCAGAUGUGAAAACUAUGGGCUUAACCCAUAAACUGCAUUUGAAACUGUGGUUCUUGAGUGAAGUAGAGGUAAGCGGAAUUCCUAGUGUAGCGGUGAAAUGCGUAGAUAUUAGGAGGAACAUCAGUGGCGAAGGCGGCUUACUGGGCUUUAACUGACGCUGAGGCUCGAAAGCGUGGGGAGCAAACAGGAUUAGAUACCCUGGUAGUCCACGCCGUAAACGAUGAUUACUAGGUGUGGGGGGACUGACCCCUUCCGUGCCGCAGCAAACGCAAUAAGUAAUCCACCUGGGGAGUACGACCGCAAGGUCGAAACUCAAAGGAAUUGACGGGGGCCCGCACAAGCAGUGGAGUAUGUGGAUUAAUUCGAAGCAACGCGAAGAACCUUACCAGGUCUUGACAUCGUAUGCAUAGCUCAGAGAUGAGUGAAAUCUCUUCGGAGACAUAUAGACAGGUGGUGCAUGGUUGUCGUCAGCUCGUGUCGUGAGAUGUUGGGUUAAGUCCCGCAACGAGCGCAACCCUUACUGUUAGUUGCUACGCAAGAGCACUCUAGCAGGACUGCCGUUGACAAAACGGAGGAAGGUGGGGAUGACGUCAAAUCAUCAUGCCCCUUAUGACCUGGGCCUCACACGUACUACAAUGGCUGUCAACAGAGGGAAGCAAAGCCGCGAGGUGGAGCGAACCCCUAAAAGCAGUCUUAGUUCGGAUUGUAGGCUGCAACCCGCCUACAUGAAGUCGGAAUUGCUAGUAAUCGCAGAUCAGCAUGCUGCGGUGAAUACGUUCCCGGGCCUUGUACACACCGCCCGUCACGCCAUGGGAGUCGGUAACACCCGAAGCCUGUAGUCUAACCGCAAGGAGGACGCAGUCGAAGGUGGGAUUGAUGACUGGGGUGAAGUCGUAACAAGGUA